AUUGAACGCUGGCGGCAGGCCUAACACAUGCAAGUCGAGCGGAUGAAGGGAGCUUGCUCCUGUAUUCCGCGGCGGACGGGUGAGUAAUGCCUAGGAAUCUGCCUGGUAUUGGGGGAUAACGUCCGGAAACGGGCGCUAAUACCACAUACGUCCUGAUGGUGAAAGUGGGGGAUCUCCGGACCUCACGCUAUCAGAUGAGCCUAGGUCGGAUUAGCUAGUUGGUGGGGUAAGGGCCUACCAAGGCGACGAUCCGUAACUGGUCUGAGAGGAUGAUCUGUCACACUGGAACUGAGACACGGUCCAGACUCCUACGGGAGGCAGCAGUAGGGAAUAUUAGACAAUGGGCGAAAGCCUGACCGAGCAACGCCGCGUGUGUGAAGAAGGUCUUCGGAUCGUAAAGCACUUUAAGUUGGGAGGAAGGGAAGUAAGAUAAGACAUGGCUGUCUUGACGUUACCAAAAGAAAAAGCAACGGCUAACUACGUG
Molecule: ribosomal RNA, 484 nt
Filed under: uncultured bacterium
Lineage: Bacteria
Description: partial 16S ribosomal RNA
Rfam family: Bacterial small subunit ribosomal RNA
Source: RNAcentral